Molecule: ribosomal RNA, 277 nt
Filed under: uncultured prokaryote
Description: partial 16S ribosomal RNA
Rfam family: Bacterial small subunit ribosomal RNA
Source: RNAcentral
UACGUAGGGGCAAGCGUUGUCCGGAAUAAUUGGGCGUAAAGGGCGCGUAGGCGGCAAGGCAAGUCAGCAGUGGAAGUCCCAUUUUCAAGGUGGGGAGGGCUGUUGAAACUGCGUUGCUUGAGUGCAGGAGAGGUUAUCGGAAUUCCCGGUGUAGCGGUGAAAUGCGUAGAGAUCGGGAGGAACACCAGUGGCGAAGGCGGGUAACUGGACUGCAACUGACGCUGAGGCGCGAAAGUGUGGGGAGCAAACAGGAUUAGAUACCCCCGUAGUCCCUGAG